Non-coding RNA from Sus scrofa (pig), 4754 nucleotides. NCBI's taxonomy places the organism in Eukaryota, Metazoa, Chordata, Mammalia, Artiodactyla, Suidae. The record is from RefSeq and is a predicted model, not a curated record.
CUCGUGUGUGCCAGGCCUCGUGCUCGGAGCCAGAGAUGCCAAACAGGGUCCUCCCCAGAGCUCGUAGUUUGCGGUGGGCAAUGACAGAGCUGUGAGUCUCCUCUGGAUCCAAAAAGGCCACCUCUUUCCCCAAGCUGUGCACCUACGCACAGGUGACGGCACGCAGUGGGCACGCGUGCAGGGGUGACUGUUCAACAAAUCGCCAUGAACUCUGUGAAUGCUCGCUAAGCACAGGCCAGGCCCCAGGCCUUGUGCUGGGUGAUGGCAGGACAAAGGACACGCAGACACGGUCCCAGUCUGAUGGGACACUGAGCCAUCACAGCACAGGGGCCGUGGGGGCCCAGAGAAGGCCUCACCCUUGGCCCAGAAGACUUCCUGAAAGAAGGUCCCUUUGCGCUGGAUUCUAAAGGACAAACAGGCGCCGGGGAGAGGGAACAGCGGGAACAAAGGCCCAGGGGCAGCGAGGCCUCGGGUGCUGCACAACUGGAGCGUGAAGCGCUGAGGAAGAGAACAAGCCGGAGCGGCCUGCGGGGUCGGAGGGAGACCAUCUCCUGGCUUCAAAGAGCAGCUGAAUCCGAGCAGCUGAAUCGAGCUCUGUUUCGAGCCCAGUCCUGCCUGCUUGACGUCUUUACCUGGAUGCGGAGCAAGCAUCUCAUGGAGCAUCACCUCAUCCGCUCAUCCCACAGCCUGCCCCGCCUCAGAGAAGGGCAGCUCCAGCCUCCGGGUGUUUUGCUCACUUCUGUAAUCAUGCAGGGCCUGGUGCCCCAUACUUGCAGGAAGGGACAGAAGGGAGAGUUUUCAGGAUGCUCAGAAGUGAGAUCUCUGAGGCGUUGGAAGGGCUGAGGAGGAGGCAGGAAACCGAACAUCCAGGUAACAGAUGCCAAGGACUUGGGCCCCCCUGGCACCAGGGAUGGAGUGGGAAGUGCCAGUGUGGGCAGAAUGGACCCUUGUUCUGGCCUUUUGUUUCCUGCGCCCGUGCCCAAUGAGCCCAGGGCAAGAGUCGGGCACAUCUGCGUCUCGCCCUUUCUCCUGCCCUGCCCAGCCCUGUCCCAGCCCCGGGCACCCCAGCUCCACUCAGUUCAGGGCAGAGCCCUUGCAGAAGCAGGGGAUGUGCUCUGGGCUCUGGCCCCUGAGUCUGAGAAAUCCUCAAGGGACAGGGAGCAGAGGCUUGGGGUGGGGCGAUCCCCAGGGUCACCCCCAGACCAUGAAGCUGAACGCCCCGGCCAAGCCCAAGCUGGAGUCCUGCUCUGCUCUGUGCCUUGGCCCUCGCUGACUGCCCACCCUGCAUGCCUCCAACCUCUUCCUGCCCUCGGCCAGACCCUGCUGGCAUCAGCUGGUUUGCUCAAGGCUCUCAGUGCCCAGCCAGAAGGGACAGGGCGGGCGGUCUCUAGCUAGGUCAGCUUUUCCUGACUCAGGCCUGGCCCUCAGACUGUCAGGCCCCUUGGCUAAGGCCUUGUGGGCAGUGAUGACCUGUGGGAAAGCAGCUGCCAGGCUGGGACCCGGCCCGUCUGCUUCCGCCCGUUUCAGCGAUGGGCUAAAGCCCUUCUCCAUGAAAGAGGAGGAAUGACAGCUGCCUUCUGCCUCUCACUCUGGGGCCCUCUCCUGGCUGCACAACUGGGUCUGGCCUGGCCCUGUUCUCGAUCAGCCUGCGCAGGGCAGGGAGGCGAAUGCGCUCUGGGGACAGGAGCCUGACCUCUCCUCAAAGAUCUGCCGAGAAGGCCAACCCUGAACCAGCCCUCACCACGGCUGCCUCUGCUCCCACCUGCCCCGGGGUCCUGCUCCAGGGAACUAUGGAGGUUCGACGGUCAUCCCUGCCUCAUCCAUGGCCCGGCGCUGGCCCGGCACACGACAGUUGCUCAGAGCUCUUCAAAGUGUGCGUGCAGGUCAGUCCCAGCCUGAGCCUCCUCAUCUGUCCGACAGUGACGUGUGUCCAGUAGCUCAGAGGUGGGAAGAUCCUACAAACUUGGUCCUGGGGCGGGAAGGGCGAAUGGCAUCUUCUCAACCCUGCCACUCCCAUCGCACCGUUGAGACUCGCCCCGAGUCACACCACCACCAAGAGCGAACGCUGCUGCUCGUACUACUUAAAGGCACUGUUCUAACACUUUCCAAAUGUAACACCUUCGUAACCACCACACACGGGGAAACUGUCAUCCCCAUUUUAUGGAAGAGGAAACUGAGGACAGAGGUAAGAACUAACUUGCCCAUGGCCACACGAUAAGCCGCAGUAAAGGCAGGAUCUCGAACUGGUCCCUUCAGCCUUGCAAAGGUGGGCUGAGGCCAUGCUCGGACACUGCGUUUCCCACCCCUUGUCUGCAGGCCUGGAUGAGGGACCCAGAGCUCCAGGGAAGCGGAAAGCGCUACUGCUUUUUUUUUCUUCUUCAGGGCUGCACCCACAGCAUGUGGAGGUUCCCAGGCUAGGCGUCCAAUGGGACCUGUAGCCGCCGGCCUACGCCACAGACACAGCAAUGGGGGAUCCAAGCCGUGUCUGCGAACUACACCACAGCUUACGGCAAGGCCGGAUCCUUAAGCCACUGAGCGAGGCCAGGGAUCGAACCCGCAACCUCAUGGUUCCCAGUCGGAUUCGUUAAGCACUGAGCCACGACGGGAACUCCUACUUUCUAAAUGUUGAUCAAAUUGGAAUCCACUGCUGCUGAACUACCCCCGUCCUCACUAGUUCUUGCCUAGACAGCGGCUGAGACCGAGUCUCCCUACGUGUGUCCAGGCCCACCCAACUAUCUUCCAGGACGCAGCCUGUACCAUCUUCUGAGUCAAGUCCAGGAGUUCCCGUUGCGCCUCAGUGGUGACGAACCUGACUAGUAUCCAUGAGGACCCAAGUUCGAUCCCUGGUCUUGCUCCGUGGGUUAAUGAUCUGGCGUGGCUGUGGCGUAGGCCGCCAGUUGCAGCUGUGAUUCAACACCUAGCCUGGGAACUUCCAUAUGCAGCAGGUGCGGCCUAAAAAAAAAACAAAGAAAAGAAAAAGAAAAUUCAAGUCCAACUGUGCUACUCUUCAAAUUCUCCAAGGACUCUCUCCUGUCUCGGAGAUGAAAAAGUAAAACCCAGCCUCCCUGGUCCCGCUCCCCAUGAUCCGUGAAGCAAACUCCCCCAACAGAAGAAAAGCAGAGCCCGGCUGCAGCCCACGGGCCACCCCAGCCGCUGCUGACUCACCACUGAAAACGCAGUAAGUACAUCGGGAACCUGCUCCUGCUUCCAAAAAAUACCUUCUGACAAACCAAAAUGCAUUUGCAAGAUGAGAGACCGAAAGUGCUUCUCAGAAUGCUCCCGACUAUCUGAAGGAGACAGCGUCCUCCCCCCGCCCCCUCUCCCCAACUCUCCCCAGAAAACGCAGGAUUCACAUGCCCAGCAAAGGCAGGCUGAGGCCGGAAACGCACAACAAAACCUUGUGAUGCACCCAGAACAACAAGUCUGCCCAACCCGUCGCCUGGCCUUUUGUCAUCAGUGUAAUAAACUCCGACCCACGUUCCCCAAACAGGUCAGGAAGGGCUGCGGAAAAAAGAUGUCCCUUUAAUAAAACGUUAUCAACAUAUAUCGUACACAAACUACAAUGUAUCAUAAUUACUUUUUUUUUUUCUCUCUUAAUUCAGAACCAGACUACAAGGUAAGAAAAAACACAGAAACAGCUACAAUGUUCCCAAUAAUCCGCACAAGGUCUUUUUUCAGGCAGAUGAUAUCUCACAUAAUAUGAUAUACAUGGAUGGGGGGAGGGGGGAAAACAAAGACCAGCUACGGGGGGAGGGGCGGCGGGCGUCAAUGUACAAAGAAUUGGGGUGUCUUCAGGGCCAGACACAGAGGUUCCGAUGGGGGGUGGUGAGGUGACGGCGGCCACGAGUCACCCCUCCUGGGAGGGGACAGGCUCUACUGUCGAGUGUGUCGGUUUUUGAAAAUAAAAACAGGACCAGAAACAGCACGUCGGUUUGGUUGUGGGUGUCCCCGCCCCGACCCCCCGCCGCUAUUCCGAAGUCUUUCCGUCCAGUUCCAAGCAUCUACAGAGCAAUUCUGGUCAAUAUCCCACCUCGGAGAAAGAAUCAAGAGAAAAAACCCCAAGCAACCCCCCCCUCCAGCCCUACGCUGUCCGCACGCACGAGGACGAUGCGAGGGGUGAGCCCACGGGGGGGCACGGUCUCCACGUCCCAGGUCAUAGCCAUCCUGCCGGGGGCCGCCCGCCCCGCUCCGCUCCGCUCCGGGCCACCGUCCCGCUGGCAGGAUUCUCACUGGGAAGACGGGGCUGAGGGGGGGCCAAGGAGGGGGCGGGAGGCGGGGUGCAGAGAGGUCCCGGAGAGAGAGGAAGCAGUCCUGGGAGCACAGUGCCGGCCACUGGGUCACAGCGCGCGUCUCCGCCGGGACGGGAUCCUGAAAGUGGUGGGCGGCCCCUCCAGCCACACACUGGGGGGGGGGGGGGGCAGGGUCCAAGUUGUGCAGCUGCUGUUGCCACCUCGCAGGGAGGGCACCAAGCAAAGACGGAGCAGGUUCCCCGCCCCUCCCUUGCCCGUCAGCACAAAGCCAAAAACGGCCAGCGGAAAAGGGUGACUCUUUUCUUUCCAAAAAAGGCCUUUUGAAAGAAACCACCGAUUGUAAACUGCCCAGUUUAUUAUAAUAAUUACGGUUUUAGAUGGCUACAAAGGUGAGAUCUCACACCUAGACUAGCUUUCCUGGUGGAAGGGCUUGGGUACAGACAGACAAAAGGGCUUGGAUUUUUUUUUGUCCUUUUUUCUUUUUCUUUUUUUUUUUUUUUUUUU